RNAcentral lists this ribosomal RNA (503 nucleotides) under uncultured bacterium. RNAcentral's name for it is "partial 16S ribosomal RNA". It matches the Rfam family "Bacterial small subunit ribosomal RNA", at positions 30 to 523 of the family's 1533-position model. The record is from RNAcentral.
AUUGAACGCUGGCGGCAGGCUUAACACAUGCAAGUCGAGCGGGGUGAUGGUGCUUGCACUAUCACUCAGCGGCGGACGGGUGAGUAAUGCUUAGGAAUCUGCCUAUUAGUGGGGGACAACAUCUCGAAAGGGAUGCUAAUACCGCAUACGUCCUACGGGAGAAAGCAGGGGAUCACUUGUGACCUUGCGCUAAUAGAUGAGCCUAAGUCGGAUUAGCUAGUUGGUGGGGUAAAGGCCUACGAAGGCGACGAUCUGUAGCGGGUCUGAGAGGGCGAUCCGCCACACUGGGACUGAGUCACGGCCCAGACGCGUGCGGGAGGCAGCAGUGGGGAAUAUUGGACAAUGGGGGGAACCCUGAUCCAGCCAUGCCGCGUGUGUGAAGAAGGCCUUAUGGUUGUAAAGCACUUUAAGCGAGGAGGAGGCUCUUUUGGUUAAUACCCAAGAUGAGUGGACGUUACUCGCAGAAUAAGCACCGGCUAACUCUGUGCCAGCCGCCGCUGUAA